RNAcentral lists this ribosomal RNA (1386 nucleotides) under Thermobia domestica (firebrat). Its description in RNAcentral is "16S ribosomal RNA". The stretch from base 691 to 1386 matches the Rfam family "Archaeal large subunit ribosomal RNA", at positions 1423 to 2809 of the family's 2987-position model. The record is from RNAcentral. Lineage: Eukaryota; Metazoa; Arthropoda; Insecta; Zygentoma; Lepismatidae.
ACCUAGAUUGAAUUAAUAGCAAAAUAGAGCUUGUUAGUUGAGCUAUUCGUUUACAUCGAGGAGGUUUCUGUGCAAUUCAGAUUAUUUUGAUUGAAGGAGACACUUAUUAUAUAUGCAUAUUUUUAUUAAGAUUAAGUGAAUCAACUUUAAUUGAUGUUAUUGUAUAGGGUAUAGAGUUAAUUUGUUAGUAUUAUAGUUAAUUAGUACCGUGAGGGAAUGUUUAAAUAGAUGAAAUUUUUUUUGAAGGAAGAAAACAUGAGAUGUUGUACCUUUUGUAUCAGGGGACACUGAAUAAUAUUAUUAUAUAAUUAUUUCCCGAAAUGGAAAGAGCUAAAGUAUUAUUAUAUUGUAGGUGGCAUAUUAUUUAUGAAUUUUAUUUUAGUGGUGAGAUGCCUUUCGGUUUCUAUUAUAUCUGGUUGUACAAGAAUUGGAUUUAAUUCAGCCACAGUUAGAUUUGUUGUGAGGUUGGUUCAUUAUAGUUUUGCUGUGAGUAACAGUAAGGGGGAUUUGCUCUUUACUUUUGUUUAUUUAUAAUGUGGUUUUAUGUUAGAUGAAAGAUGUGGGCUUAGAAGUAGCCAUCAUUUGUAAUUUUGUUAUAACUUAUUUGAGUUAUUUAUUAUAUUUUAUUGCAUUUAAUUUAUUAUUGUACUAUUGUUUUAAAUUAAUUAAGACAAUUUAUAAUGGUGUUAUUAGUAUAUUGGUGAGAAUGAUUAAAGGAAUUCGGCAAAAAUUUCCUCCGCCUGUUUAUCAAAAACAUGUCCUUUUGUUAAAAUAAAAGGUCUGACCUGCCCAGUGAGGUUUUAAACGGCCGCGGUAUUUUGACCGUGCGAAGGUAGCAUAAUCAUUAGUCCUUUAAUUGUGGGCUUGUAUGAAAGGUUGGACGAGUGGAAGACUGUCUUUAUUUGUAAUAUUGAAUUUUACUUUUGAGUGAAAAGGCUUAAAUGAUUUAGGAGGACGAUAAGACCCUGUAGAUCUUUAUAUUUAAAUAUUAAUUUUUGUAGUUGGUAAUGAAUAAAUUUGCUAUUUGACUAUUGCGUUGGGGCGACGAGAAGGUAAAAUAAACUCUUCUUAAUAUAAUUACUUUUAAGUAUUUCUGUGAUCCUUUAUUAAUGAUUAAUAGACUAAGUUACCUCAGGGAUAACAGCGUAAUUUUUUUUUGAGAGUUCAUAUCGACAAGAGAGAUUGCGACCUCGAUGUUGGAUUAAGAUUUUGUCUAGGUGCAGAAGCUUAGUACAUAGGUCUGUUCGACCUUUAAAAUCUUACAUGAUCUGAGUUCAGAUCGGCGUGAGCCAGAUCGGUUUCUAUCCUUUAGUUAGGAAGUAGUACUUUAGUACGAAAGGACCAAGUACUAAUAAUAUUUAUUGUUAGAGAAUAAAAAUAAUAGUC